CCUCUCUCAGGAUCACACCUGGGGAGUUUUCAGUACUCUACCAGUCUUGACUACAGGAAGGAGAGUCAAGCAGAGGCAUAUACAUUCCAUUCUUAGCUUAGGUAGUGGCUAGCGAGUGGAAGGAAAUCUGCUACAAGU
Ornithorhynchus anatinus (platypus) is the source of this 138-nucleotide non-coding RNA. Lineage: Eukaryota; Metazoa; Chordata; Mammalia; Monotremata; Ornithorhynchidae. The record is from Rfam.